RNAcentral lists this ribosomal RNA (420 nucleotides) under Chloroflexota bacterium. Its description in RNAcentral is "Chloroflexi bacterium partial 16S ribosomal RNA". It matches the Rfam family "Bacterial small subunit ribosomal RNA", at positions 355 to 776 of the family's 1533-position model. Lineage: Bacteria; Bacillati; Chloroflexota. The record is from RNAcentral.
UGGGGGAUAUUGCACAAUGGGCGAAAGCCUGAUGCAGCGACGCCGCGUGGGGGAUGAAGGCUUUCGGGUUGUAAACCUCUUUCGCUAUCGAACAAGGCCCGCUUAGGGUGGGUUGAGGGUAGGUGGAGAAGAAGCGCCGGCUAACUACGUGCCAGCAGCCGCGGUAAUACGUAGGGCGCGAGCGUUGUCCGGAAUUAUUGGGCGUAAAGGGCUUGUAGGCGGCUUGUUGCGCCUGCUGUGAAAACGCGGGGCUUAACUUCGCGCGUGCAGUGGGUACGGGCAGGCUUGAGUGUGGUAGGGGUGACUGGAAUUCCAGGUGUAGCGGUGAAAUGCGUAGAGAUGUGGAGGAAUACCGGUGGCGAAGGCGGCCCCCUGGACAAAGACUGACGCUCAGGUGCGAAAGCGUGGGGAGCAAACAGG